This is a long non-coding RNA of Dromaius novaehollandiae (emu), 7026 nucleotides long. RefSeq lists it as uncharacterized. The record is from RefSeq and is a predicted model, not a curated record. NCBI's taxonomy places the organism in Eukaryota, Metazoa, Chordata, Aves, Casuariiformes, Dromaiidae. The transcript is spliced from 7 exons.
UAGAAAUGAAGGGAGACACAUCUGCAAAGCAAGGAAGCACAUUCCAAGAAAUACCACAUUCUAGUCCCUGCUCUGAAUUUACCAAAGAUGACUUUGAAACAGACUCUCUUAUAUGGCAGGUAUCCUGAGAGAAUAAUUGGGCACUUCAAUAUGGCUCUGUUUUGGAGAUAUGUGGAAGGCCAGAGCUUAAAUUAGCAUCUGUUAGCUACGAAAUACAAAAAGACUGCUCAGUGUUACCCUACUCUGGUGAGACUGGGAGUGAAAGGGAUGGGCAGAAGCAUCUUGGCAGUAGGACCACAUGUGGAUUUUCAGUCAUUACAAAGUGAAGAGGCCAUUUUUUGCAUCCUCUAUUGGGUUGUGCCGGUGAAGAGCCACAGAGACACACUGAUGAGCCCAAGUGCUUGAGUCCCGGGUCCGGCUGCAGGCAGGGUGAGCCAGCGGCGCCUGCGAGAGGCUGUCCGAACGGGGCAACACACAGUGACUCUUCCACACAGUGUUCUUCUCGUGCCCCAUCACUUGCAGUUCAGGCACUGCCUAAUCCAGAGGUACUGUCUACACACCAAUUUUUAGGGCAAAGAGCAUGAGUGGGACAGGACAUUCUUCUUUCAAUCUUUUCUACUUCUCAUGGAUUUCUCCUAAGAAACUUCAGUGCAAGAGGAGCCUUGCCACAAUCUGGCAGCGUCACUGCUACAGGACUGAGCUUGAAGACAGCCCUGCUUUUUAUCCAGUGCUUUUCCACAAGGAUGUUUCAGGUGGCUAAUGAAAAUAUCAAGUAGAUGUGGCUCAGGACAUAUCCUCCUGUGACACCACUUGAAACACCAUUUUGACAGGGAGCUUGUGAGAGCAGCUUUUCAACGGUCUGUGUGUCCACCUGCCUGUGCUUCCAUCAGGACCAUGCAUCAAGUGGGACAGUGUCAGAAGUUUUAUUACACAAGCCAAGUUCUGCUUCCCCCUCAUCCCUUAGAGCAGUGCCUGUCACAUAUGGAAAUACAUUUGUUUUGACAUUGCUUUUUCUUGAUUGCUUUUUCUACUUCAUCCUCUAAGUACUUACAAAUAGCUGGUGUAAUAUUUUCUUCUAGAAAUAGAAGUUUGUUAGUGGAAGACCAGUUUGUCUUGAUUUUUAUCAUUUAUCCAUUUGUCGUGGACAAAAAGGGUAAAACCAGCAGAUUAGGUAAAUGUUCUCCCCGUGUUCUUCACCUUAUUAGAUCUGCUAAAAUCUAGUCACAAUAACUAUCAGUUUUGCAUGCCAGUCAGAUCUAUUUCAGCAUAGCUGACCUUUACUUUGAAUUAGUACUUUUCUCUUUUACAUAUAAAUCAAUACAUGUUGACAUGGUUCACUAAUGAAUUACGGAGGAAGCAUAUGAUUAAAAUCAAAAUCAAAUAUUGUCAAUAUUUUUAGAGCUUGAAUAUGACUUACCUCAUAAAUUGAACUUUCUGGAAUGUAGUCAUUUCAGUUAAGCUUUCAUCAAGAAAAAAAAUCUCAGCUGUAGGAUGAAAUCUAUACUGAAAACAAAAAUGAGAAUGAGGGAAAGAGAGGGAAUUAUAAUGCAUUCGGAACAUUAUCCCUGUUCUGUCUGUUUCAGCUCUGAGAUUUAAACAGCACAAGGCAAAAUUUGAUCUUCUCUGGGGGAUUUUGCUAUCUUUUUUGUUUCAUGCAGAAUUAAUUUUUGGUUUUGUUUUUCACUUACCUUGAAAGUGGACUGGAAAGACUGCUGGGCCACAGACAAUACAAGCCCAAACCUAACAAAGUACAAACAUCAUUAAAAGAUAGAAAAAAGGAAGACUAUGAGAAGUGAGUAUGUUCAAUUCUAUCUGUAUUUGUUCUUUCAGCUCAAGAUGAAAUCAUGUGCACCAGAAAAAUCUAUAUCAAAACCAUCCAUGUGGAUCAAAAGCAACGAGAUCUGAAAAAACUUACCCAUUAUAUAUACAGAAAAUUAAUAACCCCCUGAGCCAAGUUUCAGCUAAGCAGUGACAGGGUACAUAAGCCAAAGCACCAUCAGGCACAUCUUUUUCUUAUGAAAUAUCCAACAAAGCUUCAAUCACGUCAUCUCUGAACUUUGCACUUUGAUUGAAUCUGUUCUUUAAUUAGUGAUCAGACAUUCAGUGAAGACAUGGCUGCAGUUAUUUACUGUCUGAUUGCUGCCUGUGUGCUCAGUCUUACCAUUCAGCUGAUAAACCAUAUCCCAUGAGUGGUCCGCCUUCAUGUCAGUGCCAAGUCAGCCAGCUUCCCUUAAAUCACUGGUAAAAGUAUGUUACUGAGUGUUUUCUAUGUUUGCAGUUGGAAGGCAUGAGACUUCAAAAAACCCAACAAACUUCUUUUGUCUUUUAAAACGUAGGAGCUCAUAUGAUUAUAUUGGUGCCAGUGGUGAGUUAGGAAAUGUUCUCUCUCUUAGAUUUCACCUGCGGAUCACGAUUUCGAGAGCUUUAUGAACUUUUCAAAAAGACACUUCCUCUUCUAGGCACUCCAUUGGCAUGAUCAGCUUUGUAACUGGAGCUUCUUCGGAAGCUUAGUCUUGUGAGGGCACAGAGAGGGGAAAUCAUAUCAUUCCUCCUUUAGUUUUCUCUCUGCAGCAGAGAAUACCGAGCAGGUGCUCAAAAGGAGAGCACAGCCUUCCCAAUUACCCAACUCUGAGCAUGAGCAACAGCUCUUGGUAUUUCCUGGCCCUCUCUGUCCCCUGGAGACACUUUUGCCUUAUCUGGAGGUGGGCUCUGUAGAGAGAGAAAGAAUCCAAAAUUUUUAGUAGGAAUGGUUCCCAAGAAAAACUGGGAAAUACAGCAUUGACAACAGUAUGCCUCCUUUGUGAUUUAGCAAGAAGGCCAUGGGCCCUGUUUUCAUCCAUUUCCAGCAGAAAACAUGACAUUUUGCUUUUUCAUUCAAGUAAUGCAGUUUGCUGUCUGCUUACCGCAGAGUUCUUAUGAGCUCACUGCAGCAUAAAUCUUCCUUUAGCUGGUUAUCUUAGAUAAAGUAAUAAUAUUUUAGAACUGCUUUAAAACUAUGGUCAAAAUACUGGUUGCACCUAUUUUUAUCAGGCAGUUCCCUCAGAAAAGUUGUGCUUUAGGGCUUCAGGAUAGCCGGCAAAUUUGUAACUGGAAAAUGCUUUGCCAGUUAUCCCAAAAGAGGCUAUGAGCAACACAGUUUUUGAGAACAGCUUGUGUGAUUUCAUGGGACACCAUGCUGUCUUGGUGGAAGUCAGCAGCCAGCACCAACUCCCUGGAAGGAACCUAGCACUGUUCAAUCAGAUAAUGCUCCACAGUGACACUUCCUCAAUGUAAGUUCAGUUUGAAAGAUGAAACUUCAGUGUCCCCAAACCAAGCCAAUGACUAGUGCCUUAUACCCAGUCUCUUUCAAGCUACACUUCUCACCAAAGGAGUAUGUUGCUCUCUGGAGUAGAAAGCACUAUGCUGUAGAUGUUUGAACCUUAUCAUCACGAACAGGAGCUUAUCUGUGAAGGAAUAUCAUGUGGCAAUAGUGUGGUAUGGGAAGAGAGAGACAUUCAGCCUUUGUGACAACUCUUCAGAUUACUGACUAUGGCAUAAAAGCCUGCUUCUCUCCCUUUGCUGAUAUAGACAGGCUUGAGGUUAUUCAGUUUAUCCUGUAACAGAGGAAUGACAAUAUUAGGUCAGACCUGAUCCAAUCCAAUGUCCUUUCUCCAGCAACAAAGAGAUGUGGAAUAAUCUCCACUAUCAGUAUGAGGUUGUCUUCUUAACCCUCAUGUUAGAGAUGUCAGCCUGAUGUGCAAUCACCAUUACAUUUCACCUUUUAUUAGCAUUUACUGUAGCUGUUACAGUAUUAUUAGUCAUGUCAAUAUUCCAGUCCUUUUUGAACCUUUAUGGCACCUUGUCUUUUCAUUGGCUGUUCCUAGGAUCAGCUGUGGUAUAUGUUAGUAGAGGAAGAGAUGGGGCAUUUGGACCAGAUGCAUGCAAGAGAGAUGAGAAGAAUUUGUCAGCAACAAAGUAAAGGUUACCUUGUCCAAUCCAGAAACAAGUGGGAAAUUUGAUUCCCUCUAAAGAACAUAUCAGAUAUUUCCAGCUCAAAAUGGGUCACAAGAAGAUGCAGUUUGUUUUUAAGCCUGUUCCAGCUCAUCCCGAUUGUUGGACUGAACAGAACUUGCCCACAGGCAAAGAUUUCUUCAUCUAUACAACCUUCAGGUCCAGGUCAAAUUACAAGUUAAGUGCAGGUUUAACUAACCAGUUUCCAUAGCAAAAUACUGAAAGUGCCAUAGAACUGUCCUGCAUGGGGAAUGUCUCAGGCCUUCAUUGUGGCUUCUGUGGUCUUCUCUUAUUAGAGACAUCACCUUGCUUAAAAGAGGACUGUACAAAAACGUGGAUCUGUGACACUAGAGAAUAUGUUAUCUGUGAUCUACCCGUAAAUUUUGUUCAGCUGUGGCAAUGUGGAUCAUAAAGCACAGAACAAAGUGAAUACGCAUGUGCAUUAUCACUCAAAACUAGAACAGUAUGUUCACAUAGAGUAUGUAAAAUGCAGCACUGCUAUCUAUCAAAAAGAUGCUAAUGUUCCAGUCUGAAAUAGGAAACUGAAAAGGUCGCAAGGACCACAUGAACUGUGAAUAUGUGUGCAGCAGAGGUUGUGAAAAAAGGCUGUGACUAAAGUUAAGUGAAAAGCAAUUUUCAACAGACAAAAGAAUCAAGAGACAGAAGGUAAAUAAAUGUUUAAUGUUCUGGUCACCAUUAGCUUGGAGUCUCUGAUAGCAGUGCAGCUUUGCCUUCCCACUGAAUUCAUCCUUUCCACGUUAUUUUUCUUUAGGUUGUAUUGGUUACAUCCCCCUGUCCCAAAGAAGAUUUCACUUUAGGCAUUCAGCUUCAGUCAUGGUCUUCAGAUCUCUUAUGCCCACGGGCCAGUUCUGUUACAGUUAUUUUCAUCAUUUCACCUGACGUUAGCCUAUUUCCACAGUUCUGCCUUCAAAGAUAGCCAAAAAAGGAGUACCUCCAGAGAUAAUAAGGGGGAAUAUCCUCUUUUCCCUUUUUGAAAUCAUGCCUCUUCAAAGACAAUUCAAGAUUACUUCUGCUUUUUUGCAGCAUGCGAUAUUGAUGUUACCCAUUACUCUCAAAGUUAGUUUUGAGGAGCUGGCCUGUCAGGUUCCUCCCUUUUUGGACUGUGUGCAUUUCUGUAUGCUUUGUUAUUCCUUGCUAGGCUACAGUCUUCCAAGAUUAAUACAACUUUUUGUAAUUUAUGAUACAUGAGUCUAAGCUUCAUAGAUUUCCCUACAUACAUUUGCUUUAUAGCAUUUGCCAGUUAAUUCAUCUGUGAACUUGAUUAAUAAAUACAUCAUCGUGUGCUCCAUGCAGUUCAGUUUGUUCACCUGACAAGAAGAGAGGGAAAGAUGGGACUUGCACUGAAAGUUAUAGUCUCACUGUAUGCAGCAGCCCUGCUUUAUAACUGCAGUCCUUAAUUUAAGUGUACCAGGGAGAUAAAAACAACACUAACAACAAAAAAACUCAACAAGAACAAAACUAUGUAAUAAGCACGUUGAUGAACUUAACAUGCAACAUCACAGAUCAAAAAACUUUUAAUUAAAGAUAAUAACAUUUCAAUUGCUGUCAGUAAUAUUUUAACUGCCUUUCUUCAAAAAGUUUGGGAACUAUUAGCUAGUUCAGUGAGUUUGAUUUUCCUAUAGCCCUACUCAUCAAGGAAUUAGCACUUUCUCUUCAGGCCUUUAAUGCUACAUCUACUGUAUGACUAAUAAUGAAAAAUAUAUUAGGAUUUUGCCAGACUGAGUAUUACAAUGUACUCUCUGACUAAGGAGUUUUAGGACAUGAUCCUUACACUGUUUUAUUACUGAAGAAUUACAUCUUUCCAGAAAGCCAAGACCAUCAUCUUGUGAUUGCGAUUAAUCAAUCAAUCACCUGUAAGAAGCCUGGCAUUUGAAGCCAAAAACUACACAUUUGUAAAAUAGGAUUGAUUCAGUUCUCACUGCAUUUUUCCAUUUUUUUUUACAUUUAUCAUAAUAUUUGCUUUAGCAGGAAGAAACUUGGGCCAGAUCAAGUGGAUGAAAAAUUACUGGUCUCACUUGAUGAUUAUUAAUAUAAUUCUUUGUAUUCUGUGUAGAAGUGGGAUCAAAUUACAAAUGUUUUGGCACAGUUUGAAUCUGUAAUAGCUGUGUGAAGCUAGGAGCUUCAGAGGGCUUAAGGUACCUGAAACAGAAUUUAAGUGAACUUCAGGAGCCAAAAGCUAAAACUGCAACACAGCUAUAUCCCUGUUGCACUCCCAAAAUUCACUACUGCAAACUUGCCUGUUUGCAGUGAUCUCUGGCCAUUUCUGCACAUGCCUGGAAGUGCACACUUCACCUUUUCUAGCACCAAUACCAACAUCAGUAUCAGGAUGAUUUUCAGUUAACAUGGGCUUAACUUGGUUCGCAUAAUUUUAAAGUUUUCUUGCUUGCAACAGGUUGUUGAGCUUAUUUAAUCUUUUUGCACUGAUGAACAUGGCAUAAGGUUUACUAAUAAUUAAUCUCAGUUGCUUCAGAAAUAUGGCUUCUUACAUAUGGCUGCUUAGUGUGAUUAUAGUCUUCCAUGCAUUUCACCUUUGUUUCAGAUUUUCUUCCAGAUUGCUAAUAUGUUGCUCAUUUUGACAAAUCUAACCGCAUAGGGUCAAGAAUUGCAUAGAAAUAGAAAAUGAAAAAGAACUGCUAAAAUAUUCUGGGGAUAUUUUAUGAUUCAUCAUUUCAGACUAACAUUUUGUUAAUUCUGUUUAGGCCUAUGGUACCAUCAUUUUCUUCAGCACAAAAUGUAUUAGCUUUUGGACCAAGCAACUUAUCCAAUUUCCUUGACAUUAUAAAGAAUCACAGACUUUAUAAUGGAAAAACACAUUAUAGUGUGUCUCCUGUUCCUAGUCACUUCCUCCUAGUCCUUAGCUCAAGAUAGAAUCUAACAAUAAAGAAAGCCUUAAAUAUAGCAUUGAUACUUAUUUGAGUUUAGCCAAAAAAAUGUAAUUUAUUUAUCAAUGCAAAUAAUAAAAGAUUGAAACAAACUGAGCUGUCAAAUUCACAAGAGUAUAGCUAGAGCAAGAAC